CAACAACGAAAGGAGGUGAUCAAGUGUCUCAUUGUCAUACCCUGCGGUCCCCGGUUGCUGCGACCUUGAUCUUGGCCUCUGCCGAGGUUCGUGCGUAACGCACAAAAGGGGCGGUCCAAUCGGACCGCGGACCCGACAAUGGAAAGGCCGCCCUUCGGGGCGGCCUU
Molecule: small RNA, 167 nt
Filed under: Microvirga subterranea
Lineage: Bacteria; Pseudomonadati; Pseudomonadota; Alphaproteobacteria; Hyphomicrobiales; Methylobacteriaceae
Description: caulobacter sRNA CC2171
Rfam family: caulobacter sRNA CC2171
Source: RNAcentral